GUGGGCCUCAGGUCAGAUGAGGCGACCCGCUGAAUUUAAGCAUAUUAAUAAGCGGAGGAAAAGAAACUAACCAGG
This 75-nucleotide ribosomal RNA is filed under the name Aplysina cavernicola. RNAcentral describes it as "partial 28S ribosomal RNA". It matches the Rfam family "Eukaryotic large subunit ribosomal RNA", at positions 1 to 73 of the family's 3401-position model. The record is from RNAcentral. RNAcentral also lists the same sequence under 7 other names. Lineage: Eukaryota; Metazoa; Porifera; Demospongiae; Verongiida; Aplysinidae.